This 253-nucleotide ribosomal RNA is filed under the name uncultured bacterium. RNAcentral describes it as "partial 16S ribosomal RNA". It matches the Rfam family "Bacterial small subunit ribosomal RNA", at positions 524 to 776 of the family's 1533-position model. The record is from RNAcentral.
UACGAAGGGGGCUAGCGUUGCCCGGAAUUACUGGGCGUAAAGCGCACGCAGGCGGCGCCGUAAGUCUGAUGUGAAAUCUCCUGGCUUAACUGGGAGGGGUCAUUGGAAACUGUGGUGCUUGAGGCGAUGAGAGGGGUGUAGAAUUCCCGGUGUAGUGGUGGAAUGCGUAGAUAUCGGGAGGAAUACCAGUGGCGAAAGCGGCACCCUGGCAUUAGCCUGACGCUCAUGUGCGAAGGCGUGGGGAGCGAACGGG